This is a long non-coding RNA of Arvicola amphibius (Eurasian water vole), 707 nucleotides long. RefSeq lists it as uncharacterized. The transcript has 2 exons. NCBI's taxonomy places the organism in Eukaryota, Metazoa, Chordata, Mammalia, Rodentia, Cricetidae. The record is from RefSeq and is a predicted model, not a curated record.
UUUCAUCAUGACAUGUGUCAGGCUCCCCAUUUUAUCGGGCUAGAGCCAUCCCACCACGGUGGUGUCCCCAUCCCAGGUCCUUAGGUGCUGGGACCGUGCCCCCACCCCAAGCCUAGCUGAACUCUGAAUGCUAGGUUGCCUUUUCCAGCUAUCUCACUCUCCAGGCCUGCACAUCUGGAACCAUUCACAAUGUGGUGGUUGAAAUUUCCACUAAUUCAAAUGGAAUGCUAGGGAUGGAGGCCACGGGGAGGCCCUUGGCUUCCCUCGAGUCCAGGCAAGUCGCUCUGCUGGAAGAAGCGCAUGCGUCAACAAACGUCCUAGAAAGGGCUCCUCAGAGCAGAGCCCCGAACCUGGGGCAAUGGAGAAUGGAGAAGCUCAGCUCUGGAUACGGUGGCCCUGAGAGACCAAGCCUAUAACACAGAUAGCAAACUGCAACGUCCUCGCCCAUUUUCCAUGGUUCAUUGGUACGAACUAGAAUCCAGACACAUGACCGGCUUCGUCUGUUCAGUCACUGUGCCGAGGAAGGCCACAGAUAUCGGGGAAGGCAGCAAGGACACUGGGGAAGAAGCACACAAAAAAGAAUCAUCCUCCCAGCUUCCCAAUAAACACAGAAUGACCACUUUAUAUAAUCAUAAGUUCUUUCCAAACAGCAUACUUACCUGUUUGUAAAUGCAUGGAAUAAAAACCUAGAAAGGUACACACUGAGC